This 260-nucleotide unclassified non-coding RNA is filed under the name Fusicolla violacea. RNAcentral describes it as "partial contains 5.8S ribosomal RNA, internal transcribed spacer 2, and large subunit ribosomal RNA". Lineage: Eukaryota; Fungi; Ascomycota; Sordariomycetes; Hypocreales; Nectriaceae. The record is from RNAcentral.
CGCACAUUGCGCCCGCCAGUACUCUGGCGGGCAUGCCUGUUCGAGCGUCAUUUCAACCCUCAAGCCCUCCGGGGCUUGGUGUUGGGGCUCGGCCCGCCCCUCGCGGCGCGCCGUCCCCGAAAUCUAGUGGCGGUCUCGCUGCAGCCUCCCCUGCGUAGUAGCUAACACCUCGCAACGGGAACUGAGCGCGGCCACGCCGUUAAACCCCCAACUUCUAAAAGGUUGACCUCGGAUCAGGUAGGGAUACCCGCUGAACUUAA